Molecule: ribosomal RNA, 406 nt
Filed under: uncultured bacterium
Lineage: Bacteria
Description: partial 16S ribosomal RNA
Rfam family: Bacterial small subunit ribosomal RNA
Source: RNAcentral
AUUGAACGCUGGCGGCAGGCCUAACACAUGCAAGUCGAACGAGUGGCGGACGGGUGAGUACUGUCUGGGAAACUGCCUGAUGGAGGGGGAUAACUACUGGAAACGGUAGCUAAUACCGCAUACCAUCGGAUGUGCCCAGUUGGGAUUAGCUAGUAGGUGGGUUAAUGGCUCACCUAGGCGACGAUCCCUAGCUGGUCUGAGAGGAUGACCAGCCACACUGGAACUGAGACCCGGUCCCGACUCCUACGGUAGGCAGCAGUGGGGAAUAUUGCACAAUGUGCGCAAGCCUGAUGCAGCCAUGCCGCGUGUGUGAAGAAGGCCUUCGGGUUGUAAAGCACUUUCAGCGGUGAGGCGUUACCCGCAGAAGAAGCACCGGCUAACUCCGUGCCAGCAGCCGCGGUAAUAC